CUUUGUUCCCAGGAAUUAUAACUAGAUUCCAAGUUGUAAUGACAUGGAACUCCUGCUGCAUUUACAUAUGGGUCUUUUACAGGUUAGGCGGAUUGAGCAGUAACCUGGUUUUAACAUUAUGUUUCAGUGGGAUUUCAACAUGUAUUAUAUGAAAUAAUGUGUGUCACUUUUAAUAGCUAGAUGAAUUGGGUCACAAUAAGUUUUUACAAUAUUUA
Molecule: long non-coding RNA, 215 nt
Organism: Xenopus laevis (African clawed frog)
Lineage: Eukaryota; Metazoa; Chordata; Amphibia; Anura; Pipidae
Exons: 2
Source: RefSeq, a predicted model, not a curated record